UCCAGACUCCUACGGGAGGCAGCAGUGGGGGAUAUUGCACAAUGGGCGAAAGCCUGAUGCGGCGACGCCGCGUGAGGGAAGACGGUCUUCGGAUUGUAAACCUCUGUCUUUGGGGAAGAAAUCAGACGGUACCCAAAGAGGAAGCUCCGGCUAACUACGUGCCAGCAGCCGCGGUAAUACGUAGGGAGCGAGCGUUGUCCGGAAUUACUGGGUGUAAAGGGAGCGUAGGCGGGACUGCAAGUUGGGUGUCAAAUCUACCGGCUCAACCGGUAGCCGCACUCAAAACUGCAGUUCUUGAGUGAAGUAGAGGCAGGCGGAAUUCCUAGUGUAGCGGUGAAAUGCGUAGAUAUUAGGAGGAACACCAGUGGCGAAGGCGGCCUGCUGGGCUUUUACUGACGCUGAGGCUCGAAAGUGUGGGGAGCAAACAGGAUUAGAUACCCCCGUAA
This 446-nucleotide ribosomal RNA is filed under the name uncultured bacterium. RNAcentral describes it as "bacterial SSU rRNA". It matches the Rfam family "Bacterial small subunit ribosomal RNA", at positions 330 to 793 of the family's 1533-position model. The record is from RNAcentral.